AGCCCUUCGGGGUGAGUACAGUGGCGAACGGGUGAGUAACACGUGGGCAACUUAUCCCUUGUGGGGGGAUAACCGGGGGAAACCCCGGCUAAUACCCCGUAAGCUUGCCGGGCCGCAUGGUCCGGCAAGGAGAGGUAGCUUCGGCCAUCCGGCAGGGGAGAGGCCCGCGGUACAUUAGCUAGUUGGUGGGGUAACGGCUCACCAAGGCGACGAUGUAUAGCUGGUCUGAGAGGAUGAUCAGCCACACUGGGACUGAGACACGGCCCAGACUCCUACGGGAGGCAGCAGCCAGGAAUCUUGCGCAAUGGGCGAAAGCCUGACGCAGCAACACCGUGUGGGCGAGGAAGGUCUUCGGAUCGUAAAGCCCUGUUGUUGGGGACGAAGGGCGAAGGGCUAAUAGCCCCUAGCCUGACGGUACCCU
RNAcentral lists this ribosomal RNA (421 nucleotides) under uncultured bacterium. RNAcentral's name for it is "bacterial SSU rRNA". It matches the Rfam family "Bacterial small subunit ribosomal RNA", at positions 74 to 481 of the family's 1533-position model. The record is from RNAcentral.